CCCGGAAGUGCUUAGGGAGUGUGAUUGCAGAGCGAAAAAGUGUUUUUGUGUUUUUUGUUGUUGUUGUUUUUUUUUGUUUGUUUGUUUUUGUAAUUAGGCAUCAAGAAAUGCAUCACGAUGUAAUAGUGUGUAUACCUCGGUGAGAGCUGAUUCACUGAUGGAGGAGAUUUGUGGAACAAGAGAAGAGUAACACCAGCAGCAAACUGUCUACCACGGAUAGAGAACCAGACAUGCAACAUCCCCGACAAACAUCCUGAUGAGAGUUGGGUGGAUUUUACUCAAGGACAGCUGGAUCAGCUCAGCUCAGCUGAAGAUAAACCACACGUCUGUGACCAGCGUUGGAAAAGCUUCAGUCAUUUAUGCAAUUUUAAUAUUCAUCUGUAUAGCCUGAGUGAAGAAAAACACGACUCUUGUGAUGAGUGAAAAGAGUUUAACCCAGUCAACAAAUCUGAAGACACGGCAUACCCACACAAGAGAGAAACCCUGCAUCUGUCAGUGUGGGAGGCUUUCAGUGACCCAUUAAAUUUAUGACAUAAUAAGAAUUCCUGUCGACGUUGUCCCCGAAGCUACAUCAGCAUUUCCACAAGGACCACAAUCUGAAAAUUUCAGAAGCAUAU
This is a long non-coding RNA of Pelmatolapia mariae (spotted tilapia), 617 nucleotides long. RefSeq lists it as uncharacterized. NCBI's taxonomy places the organism in Eukaryota, Metazoa, Chordata, Actinopteri, Cichliformes, Cichlidae. The transcript is spliced from 3 exons. The record is from RefSeq and is a predicted model, not a curated record.